Molecule: long non-coding RNA, 1169 nt
Organism: Passer domesticus (house sparrow)
Lineage: Eukaryota; Metazoa; Chordata; Aves; Passeriformes; Passeridae
Exons: 2
Source: RefSeq, a predicted model, not a curated record
CCCUGUGUCUGUCCCUGUGUCUGUCCCUGUGUCUGUCCCUGUCUGUCCCUGUGGCUGUCCCUGUGUCUGUCCCUGUGUCUGGCCCUGUGUCUGUCCCUGUGUCUGUCCCUGGCUGUCCCUGUGUCUGUCCCUGUGUGUCCCUGUGUCUGUCCCUGUGUCUGUCCCUGGUGCAGAGGUCAGAGCAGGCCCAGGCUCUGCUCCAGGCCCAGCAAUGGCCCCAGAGCCACGGGCAGGGCCUGAGCCCAGCAAUUCCCCUCCCAGGAGGCACAACUUCUGCCCUGGGCAGUGCCCAGCCCUGAGCAGAGCCCAGAGGGGCUCUGGGGGCUCCUCCCUGGGGACAUUCCAGAGCCAUCUGGACACAGCCCUGUGCCCUGUGCUCUGGGAUGGCCCUGCUGGAGCAGGGAGGUGGCAGCAGCUGUCCCCUGUGGUCCCUGCCAUCCUCACCCACCCUUGUGUGCAGCAGAGCAGUCCCUGCUGCUGAAGGGAGGUUUGCUCAGAGCUGCCACUGCUGCUGUGGGGGUAGGAACUAAACACAAUUAAGGAUAGACUGUUCCUGUCCAAGGAAGGUCAAACAAGAACACGCGUUUGUGCCUACCCAAACCACCCCUGCUAUAAAAGGAAUCCUCAGAGACUGAAUUUCCCUGAGCGCUGCACGGUGACAGCAAGGCCAUACAUGUCUUCAAAGAGGAACACUACUGAUUGCCAUGGAUGAAAGAGUUUUUUGUUUCUCCACCCUCCCUCCUUUUCAACAAAAGGGAAACAAGAGAGAAAGUUUCCUUUUGACAGGGAAACAAACACUUGAAGAAGAGGCUAAUAACAUUGAAGACAUGGACAUAUUGCAGACUUCUGGCCAGAAAAACAUGGAACAGAGGAUUUAUAUUGUGUAUGGAGGUUUCCAGCACACCCCAAUUUUCAGAGCAAUAAAUCACUGCCUGAAUUUGAACCACACAGAGCUAAUAAGGACAAAGAGUUACACAUUUCUGCUUCUUUGAUUUAGCAUUCAAUCUCAGGUUCAAAGUUCUGAUUCUGCUUUAUUUUUAUACAAGCAUGUGGGCUGGGGAGAUCAGAGGACUCUAUUCCAUCUCCCCUGCUGCUCCUGUGUUUUAUGUAGGUGACAGUUUUUCUGCUGUAAUUUCAUUACAAAAAAUAAUUGGUAUCUAUUUACCCAA